AUAAUGGGUCAGCGACUUAUAUUCUGUAGCAAGGUUAACCGAAUAGGGGAGCCGAAGGGAAACCGAGUCUUAACUGGGCGUUAAGUUGCAGGGUAUAGACCCGAAACCCGGUGAUCUAGCCAUGGGCAGGUUGAAGGUUGGGUAACACUAACUGGAGGACCGAACCGACUAAUGUUGAAAAAUUAGCGGAUGACUUGUGGCUGGGGGUGAAAGGCCAAUCAAACCGGGAGAUAGCUGGUUCUCCCCGAAAGCUAUUUAGGUAGCGCCUCGUGAAUUCAUCUCCGGGGGUAGAGCACUGUUUCGGCAAGGGGGUCAUCCCGACUUACCAACCCGAUGCAAACUGCGAAUACCGGAGAAUGUUAUCACGGGAGACACACGGCGGGUGCUAACGUCCGUCGUGAAGAGGGAAACAACCCAGACCGCCAGCUAAGGUCCCAAAGUCAUGGUUAAGUGGGAAACGAUGUGGGAAGGCCCAGACAGCCAGGAUGUUGGCUUAGAAGCAGCCAUCAUUUAAAGAAAGCGUAAUAGCUCACUGGUCGAGUCGGCCUGCGCGGAAGAUGUAACGGGGCUAAACCAUGCACCGAAGCUGCGGCAGCGACGCUGAUGCGUUGUUGGGUAGGGGAGCGUUCUGUAAGCCUGCGAAGGUGUGCUGUGAGGCAUGCUGGAGGUAUCAGAAGUGCGAAUGCUGACAUAAGUAACGAUAAAGCGGGUGAAAAGCCCGCUCGCCGGAAGACCAAGGGUUCCUGUCCAACGUUAAUCGGGGCAGGGUGAGUCGACCCCUAAGGCGAGGCCGAAAGGCGUAGUCGAUGGGAAACAGGUUAAUAUUCCUGUACUUGGUGUUACUGCGAAGGGGGGACGGAGAAGGCUAUGUUG
Molecule: ribosomal RNA, 873 nt
Filed under: Escherichia coli
Lineage: Bacteria; Pseudomonadati; Pseudomonadota; Gammaproteobacteria; Enterobacterales; Enterobacteriaceae
Description: partial 23S ribosomal RNA
Rfam family: Bacterial large subunit ribosomal RNA
Source: RNAcentral